Molecule: ribosomal RNA, 2896 nt
Filed under: Clostridioides difficile
Lineage: Bacteria; Bacillati; Bacillota; Clostridia; Peptostreptococcales; Peptostreptococcaceae
Description: 23S ribosomal RNA
Rfam family: Bacterial large subunit ribosomal RNA
Source: RNAcentral
UCAAGUUAUUAAGGGUGCAGGGCGGAUGCCUUGGCACUAGGAGCCGAUGAAGGACGUGAUAAGCUGCGAUAAGCUUCGGGGAGUUGCACGUAAACUUUGAUCCGAAGAUUUCCGAAUGAGGAAACUCACUUAGAGUAAUGUCUAAGUAUCAUUAAGUGAAUACAUAGCUUAAUGAGGGGAACUCAGGGAACUGAAACAUCUAAGUACCUGAAGGAAGAGAAAGAAAUUCGAUUCCGUAAGUAGCGGCGAGCGAACGCGGAUUAGCCCAAACCAAUAAAGUUUUCUUUAUUGGGGUUGCGGACAUAUCAUAACGAAGAGGUAUCGUAAUUGAAGAGGUUUGGAAAGACCCACCACAGAAGGUAAUAGUCCUGUAUGUUAAACGAGAAGACUUCAGAUAUGAUCCAGAGUACCACGGGACACGUGAAACCCUGUGGGAAGCAGGAGGGACCACCCUCCAAGGCUAAAUACUACCUAGUGACCGAUAGCGUAUAGUACCGUGAGGGAAAGGUGAAAAGAACCCCGGGAGGGGAGUGAAAUAGAACCUGAAACCCUGCACUUACAAGCUGUGGAAGCACAUUUCUUGUGUGACCGCGUACUUUUUGUAGAACGGGCCAACGAGUUACGUUAAGUAGCAAGGUUAAGCACUUAAGGUGUGGAGCCGUAGCGAAAGCGAGUUUUAACUGAGCGUUCAGUUACUUGACGUAGACCCGAAACCGGGCGACCUACCCAUGAGCAGGAUGAAGCGAAAGUAAAAUUUCGUGGAGGUCCGAACCCACGAGCGUUGAAAAGCUCGGGGAUGACUUGUGGGUAGCGGUGAAAUUCCAAUCGAGCCCGGAGAUAGCUGGUUCUCCCCGAAAUAGCUUUAGGGCUAGCCUCAAGGUGAGAGAUACGGAGGUAGAGCACUGAAUGUCCUAGGGGGUAUUGCACCUACCGAAGACUAUCAAACUCCGAAUGCCGUCAUCUUAUACUUGGGAGUCAGACUGUGGGUGAUAAGAUUCAUAGUCGAAAGGGCAACAGCCCAGAUCGUCAGCUAAGGUCCCUAAAUGUAAGUUAAGUGGUAAAGGAUGUGGGAUUGCACAGACAACCAGGAUGUUGGCUUAGAAGCAGCCACUCAUUCAAAGAGUGCGUAAUAGCUCACUGGUCGAGUGAUCCUGCGCCGAAGAUUUCCGGGGCUAAAACUUACUACCGAAGCUACGGCAUCAGUAAUGAUGGGUAGGGGAGCUUCCCAUACGGGUUGAAGCAUGACCGUAAGGACAUGUGGACAGUAUGGGAGUGAGAAUGUUGGCAUGAGUAGCGAGAUGUGGGUGAGAAUCCCACAGGCCGUAAACCCAAGGUUUCCAGGGGAAGGUUCGUCCGCCCUGGGUUAGUCGGGACCUAAGCUGAGGCCGAAAGGCGUAGGUGAUGGACAACAGGUUGAUAUUCCUGUACUACCGAUAACCGUUUGAGAGAAGGGAUGACACAGUAGGAUAAGCUAAGCACACUGUUGGUUAUGUGUGCCCAAGCAUUGAGGCAGUCAAAGUAGGCAAAUCCGCUUUGAUAAUGCUGGGAUGUGAUGGGGAGCGAAAUUUAGUAGCGAAGUAGCUGAUUUCACACUGUCAAGAAAAGUCUCUAUCGAGGUUAAAGGUACCCGUACCGCAAACCGACACAGGUGGGUGAGGAGAGUAUCCUAAGGCCAGCGAGAGAACUGUUGUUAAGGAACUCGGCAAAAUGACCCCGUAACUUAGGGAUAAGGGGUGCCACCAUCAGGUGGCCGCAGAGAAUAGGCCCAAGCGACUGUUUACCAAAAACAUAGGUUUCUGCUAAGUCGCAAGACGAUGUAUAGGAGCUGACGCCUGCCCGGUGCUGGAAGGUUAAGGGGAUCUGUUAGAGCAAUCGAAGCAGUGAACUUAAGCCCCAGUAAACGGCGGCCGUAACUAUAACGGUCCUAAGGUAGCGAAAUUCCUUGUCGGGUAAGUUCCGACCCGCACGAAAGGCGUAACGAUUUGGGCACUGUCUCAACAACAGACUCGGUGAAAUUGUAAUUCCGGUGAAGAUGCCGGAUACCUGCGACAGGACGGAAAGACCCCAUGGAGCUUUACUGUAGCUUGACAUUGGGUCUUGGUACUACAUGUACAGGAUAGGUGGGAGGCUUUGAAACCAGGACGCCAGUUUUGGCGGAGCCAUCCUUGGGAUACCACCCUUGUAGUACUGGGACUCUAACCAUAGGCCAUGAAUCUGGUCUUGGGACACUGUCAGGUGGGCAGUUUGACUGGGGCGGUCGCCUCCCAAAAGGUAACGGAGGCGCUCAAAGGUUCUCUCAGUACGGUCGGAAAUCGUACGUAGAGUGUAAAGGCAAAAGAGAGCUUGAUUGCAAGACAUACAGGUCGAGCAAGGAUGAAAAUCGGCCUUAGUGAUCCGGUGGUUCUGCGUGGAAGGGCCAUCGCUCAACGGAUAAAAGCUACCCUGGGGAUAACAGGCUUAUCUCCCCCAAGAGUCCACAUCGACGGGGAGGUUUGGCACCUCGAUGUCGGCUCAUCACAUCCUGGGGCUGUAGUAGGUCCCAAGGGUUGGGCUGUUCGCCCAUUAAAGUGGUACGCGAGCUGGGUUCAGAACGUCGUGAGACAGUUCGGUCCCUAUCCGUCGCAGGCGUAGGAAAUUUGAGAAGACCUGUCCUUAGUACGAUAGGACCGGGAUGGCCGUACCUCUGGUGUACCAGUUGUUCUGCCAAGGGCAUGGCUGGGUAGCUAUGUACGGAAUGGAUAAGCGCUGAAAGCAUCUAAGCGCGAAGCCAACUUCAAGAUAAGAUUUCCCACCGCAAGGGUAAGACCCCAGAAAGACUAUCUGGUUGAUAGGUCGAAGGUGUAAGUGCAGCAAUGUAUUUAGCUUAUCGAUACUAAUAGGUCGAGGACUUGACCAA